Nicotiana attenuata is the source of this 2208-nucleotide RNA transcript. It is a transcript of the gene named probable WRKY transcription factor 3, with no coding region annotated. The record is from RefSeq and is a predicted model, not a curated record. Lineage: Eukaryota; Viridiplantae; Streptophyta; Magnoliopsida; Solanales; Solanaceae. The transcript is spliced from 4 exons.
AGUGGGAAAAUAAGCAGCCAAUCUAGUAGGAUUUGUACAAGGUACGAAAUGCAAACAAAGGCAGAAGCACAGCGGGAAAAGAAAGGUACAAUAAGCAAAAGCAGGUCCCAGCAGUAAUUACACCAUUGACGAAUGACGACUGCAGUCCCCCAUCAUAUAGCCAAUAUAUAAACGUCACAGCCAAAGCCAAAGCCAAAGCCAAAGCCAAAAGAGAUAACAGAAAAAGCAACUCCAAAUUAUAAGAGCAGAGCUAAUCUAAUUGUCUUUCUUUCUUCUUCAGUGAAAAUAAAUAAUUGCUCUCAUCACAGUUCUGUUUCAGCUGAUAGACUUUUUUAGCAUGUCGUUUCCGGCUUUAACAAUCCCACCUCGGCCCUCGUUCGAAUCCUUUUUUAGUAACAUGCCUUCUUUCAGCCCAGGUCCAAUGUCCCUAGUUUCCAGUUUCUUCUCCGAUCAGAGCCCUGAUUCAUCCGAUUAUCCUUCUUUCUCCCAGCUUCUUGCCGGAGCUAUGACUUCUCCACUUGCAAAGCCGGCCCUUUUGCCGGAUAAUUUUGGAGAAGGAACUCAAAAGAACUCAGGGUAUAAGCAGAAUCGGCCCAUGGGCCUUGUGUUGGCCCAAUCUCCUUUGUUCAUGAUUCCUCCUGGUUUGAGUCCUUCUGAAUUGCUUAAUUCACCUGGGUUUCUUUCUCCACUUCAGAGUCCUUUUGGAAUGUCACAUCAACAGGCUCUAGCACAUGUUACAGCCCAGGCUGCAUUUUCUAAUUCGAACAUGCAAAUGCAAGCCGAAGAUCAAUGUUCGUCUCAGGUGGCUUCAGCAGAAGCAUUCGGACAUGAGUUGACAACUGAGCUAAAGGAAGCUUCUUUGCAGCUAAAGGAACCUUCGCAAACUAGAAUGGACAGCGAACCAUCGGACAAGCAGGGUAAGAAAUUUGAACUGCUAGAGUUUUCUCAAUCUGAGAACAAGCCGUCUUUUAUUACUGUUGAAAAACCAGCUUGUGAUGGUUACAACUGGAGAAAAUAUGGCCAGAAGAAAGUAAAGGCUAGUGAAUGCCCUCGGAGCUACUAUAAGUGCACACAUCUCAAAUGUCCAGUGAAGAAGAAAGUUGAGCGAUCUGUUGAUGGUCACAUAACUGAGAUCACAUAUAAUGGCCGGCACAACCAUGAACUUCCUCAACCAAGCAAGCAAAGAAAAGAUGGUUCUGCUUUGAAUGGUACAGACUGCUCGGAAGUUCGACCUGACAUUCAAACACAUGAUUGGACAGUGAUGAAUAGCUCAGAUGGGUCUUCCCCUUCUCGUUCUGACCAGGUCCCAACCCAAAUGGCAUCUGAACUUCUCGUGAAAAGAGAACAUGAUGAAACCAAAAACAUUUUGGUAGCAGUAGAUGAGGGGCAUGAUGAACCAAAUGCAAAGAGAACGAAGACGGCAGUUGAGACACUAGCUUCAUCACAUAGCACAGUAGCUGAAUCCAAGAUUGUUCUGCAGACAAGAAGUGAAGUUGAUUUCUUAGAUGACGGGUACAAAUGGCGAAAGUACGGGCAGAAGGUGGUAAAGGGGAAUCAGCACCCAAGGAGUUAUUAUCGGUGCACAUGUCCUGGAUGCAAUGUCCGCAAACAAGUCGAGAGGGCUUCAACUGAUGCAAAAAAUGUCAUAACAACCUAUGAAGGCAAGCAUAAUCACGACAUUCCCUCUGUUAGGAAUAGAAACAGCCAAAGAUAGUACUCAGCGUUGCAAAGUAAAAGAUGGUGACUUCGAGGCCUUUAUUUCACCAAGAUAUUGAUUUUGGAAACAACAAUGAAAUACCCGUGUGUGAAAGGAUUGCAGCAUAAGUUGCAUUACCAAAAAAGGGUGAAAGGAUACUGAGAUUGCAGCAUAAGUAGAGCAUUACCAAAGGUAAAAGAGUGAAAGGAUACAGGAUUGAGCUACUAACUUUUGUACCAAAUAGUCAGUCUUUUCUUUCGAAAACCUCAUGCUUGGUGAAUCUGUUGGUAGUUCUCAAUAAGUAUUUGUAAAUUCUAUGCUACUUUCUGAAGUUGUCUGAUAUAUUGUUAAAGUAUAGAAGGUUGUAAUAGCUUGUCCUUGCCAUUUAAGCUUCUUCUGGUCAGCUUCAAACUCUAGACCAGCAGAGUACAUAAGCUUAUUCAAGCAAAGUUGUCAACUUUUGAUACCAUAUUUACUUUGUAAAUUAGAAGUUAUAUUUCGUUUGCAUCUCU